ACACGACUACAUUAGAUACCCCUGUAGUCCCUAGCCGUAAACGAUACUCGCUAGGUGUCGGCCACGGUGCGACCGUUGUCGGUGCCGUAGGGAAGCCGUGAAGCGAGCCACCUGGGAAGUACGGCCGCAAGGCUGAAACUUAAAGGAAUUGGCCGGGGGAGCACCACAACGGGUGGAGCCUGCGGUUUAAUUGGACUCAACGCCGGGAAGCUCACCGGAUAAGACAGCGGAAUGAUUGCCGGGCUGAAGACCCUGCAUGACCAGCUG
This 267-nucleotide ribosomal RNA is filed under the name uncultured archaeon. Its description in RNAcentral is "partial 16S ribosomal RNA". It matches the Rfam family "Archaeal small subunit ribosomal RNA", at positions 717 to 982 of the family's 1478-position model. The record is from RNAcentral.